RNAcentral lists this transfer RNA (62 nucleotides) under Scaptocoris castanea. Its description in RNAcentral is "tRNA-Arg". Lineage: Eukaryota; Metazoa; Arthropoda; Insecta; Hemiptera; Cydnidae. The record is from RNAcentral.
GGACAAGAAGUAACAAUUACAAUUAGUUUCGACCUAAAAAUAGGGCCCUACGCCCCUGUCCU